RNAcentral lists this long non-coding RNA (2443 nucleotides) under Marmota monax (woodchuck). The record is from RNAcentral. Lineage: Eukaryota; Metazoa; Chordata; Mammalia; Rodentia; Sciuridae.
GGAGGUCCUGCCCUUGCCCCUCGCCCUACCCCACCUCCCAAACAGGGGAGACUCCUGUAGGAACCUUGGAAGGACACAAGAUGCCAGGCCUAGCGCGCUUGGGGAUCCUCUGGACAAGGCCACAGUGACAUCGCCAGGUGAGGAUUUUGCUGCCCUCUGGGCGUCCCCUCAGCUUCCAGCCUUAGUCUUUUUCUCUUUGGACUCAGUCUAGAGACAGAUUAGGAUCUCGGGAAGGCUCAGUCCUCUUGUUAAACUGAAAGGGAAACUGAGGCUUAGAGGUUAGUGAUUGACCAGGGUCAGGGGCCAGAGCUGAGGGGCCAAACAGCUCUGCCCAGCCCUGGCUGCCUCUUCCUCCCCCGCACAGCACAGAUCCUAAGUGGGCGCCCUGGAUCAAUGAUCACUCUGCACAAACUUUUGGAUCCCUCGGACUCCAUGAUCAACCAUCCAAGUUGCUGCUUACAAAUGUCUGCUUCCAUUGAAGGUUUCCUGUAGUCAUCAGCUUUCUGGAACUUUCUGAAAUCAAACCUUUCUCAGAUUGCUGGCAAGUGCUGGUUGGCUUCGGAAUGGAGAUGUGGCCUGCUGAGCACUGGCAGGGCUCCCCAGAGCUAUGUGGACCCAGGCCCUGGGACCCCCUGCCCGUUCCUGAUGGCACCUGUCCUCUCCCUCCAGCACGUGAGGAGGUGUUUGACAGGGACCCACGGAAGACAGCGUGAAAUGCUUGACAAUUCCCAAGGAGCCGUGGAGGCUCCAGAAACUUCCAGGCCCCACUCUGCCACUCUGGACCAGUAUUGGGGACCCAGAGGUGGAUCAGAUCCAGCCCAGCACUUGUGGGCUCCAAGUUUAGCAAAGGAGAGAGUUUCAUGCUCUGGAACAGUUGCCUUGGAGUCUCGAAUGGCACUUCCAGGGAGGGCACAGACUUCAAUGCACAGAAGGGGAAACUGAGGCAGCCCUCAGAAAGACACAAUUUGCCAAGGUCACACGGCAACGGCAAAUCAUUGUGUUUUUUCCUGAGGCUAGGACCCACAACUUUGCAUUCUGGCCCCAGGCUCUUUUUCUGAACUUUAACCCCAGAGGCCAGCCUUUGAGACAUGUACAAGGUCACCGCAUUAUGAGCCAAAGACCUGGUUCAGAAUCCACCUCCCCCAAGUAUGACUGUGUCACUUGGGUCACUUCAUUGUCUGCACUAGGCCUCUGUCCCCCAAGACAGAUGGCCUCUAAAUAGCCCUGGCUCUAAUUGUGAGUCUGGGAUUCUCUGAAAUUGGGUGUUCGGACCCGGCUGUACAGUCUCUCAGUGGCUGGUUAUAAGUCACUGCUGAGGGGGGUUUCUUCCACUACUGAUGCUAAGAAAUGCUGGAGAUGGUGGUUACUUCAGCCACAGGCUGUGCGGUCUACUCUGAAGAUGACCUGGGGGUCAGCUUUGCACACUUUGGACCCCAUCGGACCCCUCCAAUGGUGAGUCCCCUGAUGAACUUGGCACCAAACUGUGUGAAUGGCCCCAGAUAGGUUGGGUUUAAAGAAUGGAAAAGCAAGUCUGCCUCCCAGUCUACGCGGGCCCGAUCUCCAGGGACCUGAGGUGAGCCUGCUCAUCCAGUGCUCAGAACUUGGUCCUCUGGGAGACUACAGACCCCAGGGGACAUGGGCUCAUGCCCAUCUGAAACUGGGUCUCAGGGUUGGAGCAUUCCCUUUCCAGAUCCUGAAGGUGCUGGGCUAGGUGGGACCUGGCUUAGAGAUGCCCAGAGUGACAGGGAGGGACCCCCAUCCAUUUUGCAAAUAGGGAAAUGGAGGUCCAGAGAACAGGGGGGGCUUGCAUGACCCCCAGAGGACUGGUGGCAAACCGAGGACCAGAAUCCAUGUCUCCUGAUCCUCCUGUCCAGAACCGCACCUCUGCAUCGGACACAAUCUGCUGACAUCCAUGCUGAGCUCACCUCCUCUUUUUCCCAGAGCUUUGAGUCCUUGGCAGAGGGCGCCUCGGCCCACCCCUGUGAGGUCUGGGCGAUCGGGAGCUUUCCCUUCAACCAGAUGGUUCUUUCCUCUGAAGCUUCCUGGUGUCCCCUACCCGCCUACCCGGUGCUCAUUCCUUCCUGGUUCCAGAAACUGCUCCAUCAACAGGCCACUGCUGCUCUUCCCUUUUUGCUGUAGUUCAGCCAGCUCUGCAGUUCUGGCACUCUCGGGGUGCAGAUCCUCAUCCUCCCCUGAUUGGGGUCUCUCCUUGAUUGCUCCUAGGGCUCCCCCCUGCCUGUGGCCCAGGCCUACUCUUUACCUCUGAUCCUCUGACCCUUAUCCCCCAUCCGUCUUUCGUGGGGUCCCCUGGACCAUGCCUUGCAGACACCCUCCAUGCUUGCCCAGGGCCAGUGGAAAUAAGCAGCCCACACCUCAGAGGGGUGCUGUGAGGUUUAUGGAGUUGAUACCUGCACCAGGUAAAUAAGGCGCAGGAACAUGCUGC